This 465-nucleotide ribosomal RNA is filed under the name Vreelandella stevensii. RNAcentral's name for it is "partial 16S ribosomal RNA". It matches the Rfam family "Bacterial small subunit ribosomal RNA", at positions 338 to 795 of the family's 1533-position model. The record is from RNAcentral. Lineage: Bacteria; Pseudomonadati; Pseudomonadota; Gammaproteobacteria; Oceanospirillales; Halomonadaceae.
CCUACGGGGGGCAGUAGUGGGGAAUAUUGGACAAUGGGCGAAAGCCUGAUCCAGCCAUGCCGCGUGUGUGAAGAAGGCCUUCGGGUUGUAAAGCACUUUCAGUGGGGAAGAAAGCCUUGGGGCUAAUACCCUCGAGGAAGGACAUCACCCACAGAAGAAGCACCGGCUAACUCCGUGCCAGCAGCCGCGGUAAUACGGAGGGUGCGAGCGUUAAUCGGAAUUACUGGGCGUAAAGCGCGCGUAGGCGGUCUGAUAAGCCGGUUGUGAAAGCCCCGGGCUCAACCUGGGAACGGCAUCCGGAACUGUCAGGCUAGAGUGCAGGAGAGGAAGGUAGAAUUCCCGGUGUAGCGGUGAAAUGCGUAGAGAUCGGGAGGAAUACCAGUGGCGAAGGCGGCCUUCUGGACUGACACUGACGCUGAGGUGCGAAAGCGUGGGUAGCAAACAGGAUUAGAUACCCUUGUAGUC